RNAcentral lists this ribosomal RNA (1230 nucleotides) under metagenome. Its description in RNAcentral is "SSU rRNA". It matches the Rfam family "Eukaryotic small subunit ribosomal RNA", at positions 573 to 1823 of the family's 1831-position model. The record is from RNAcentral.
GCCGCGGUAAUUCCAGCUCCAAUAGCGUAUAUUAAAGUUGUUGCAGUUAAAAAGCUCGUAGUUGAAUUUCGGGAUCAAUUUAUCGGUCGUGCCAAUGGUAUGAACUGGUACAAUUGGUUUCUCCCUUCUGACGAAGCAUGAUGUCAUUAAUUUGGUGUCGUGGGGAAUCAGGACUGUUACUUUGAAAAAAUUAGAGUGUUUAAAGCAAGCAUUAGCUUGAAUACAUUAGCAUGGAAUAAUGAAAUAGGACGUUUGAUCCUAUUUCGUUGGUUUCUAGGAUCGACGUAAUGAUUAAUAGGGAUAGUUGGGGGCAUUAGUAUUCAAUUGUCAGAGGUGAAAUUCUUGGAUUUAUUGAAGACUAACUACUGCGAAAGCAUUUGCCAAGGAUGUUUUCAUUAAUCAAGAACGAAAGUUAGGGGAUCGAAGACGAUCAGAUACCGUCGUAGUCUUAACCAUAAACUAUGCCGACUAGGGAUCGGAUGAUGUUAAUUUUUUAAUGACUCAUUCGGCGCCUUACGGGAAACCAAAGUGUUUGGGUUCCGGGGGGAGUAUGGUCGCAAGGCUGAAACUUAAAGGAAUUGACGGAAGGGCACCACCAGGGGUGGAGCCUGCGGCUUAAUUUGACCCAACACGGGGAAACUCACCAGGUCCAGACAUAGUAAGGAUUGACAGAUUGAGAGCUCUUUCUUGAUUCUAUGGGUGGUGGUGCAUGGCCGUUCUUAGUUGGUGGAGUGAUUUGUCUGGUUAAUUCCGAUAACGAACGAGACCUUAACCUGCUAAAUAGCUAGGCUUAGCAUUGCUAGGUCGUCAGCUUCUUAGAGGGACUAUCGGUGUUUAACCGAUGGAAGUUUGAGGCAAUAACAGGUCUGUGAUGCCCUUAGAUGUUCUGGGCCGCAUGCGCGCUACACUGAUGAAGUCAACGAGUUCACUCCCUUUGUCGGAAGACAUGGGUAAUCUUUUGAAACUUCAUCGUGCUGGGGAUAGAGCAUUGCAAUUAUUGCUCUUAAACGAGGAAUCCCUAGUAAGUACAAGUCAUCAGCUUGUGCUGAUUACGUCCCUGCCCUUUGUACACACCGCCCGUCGCUACUACCGAUUGAAUGGCUUAGUGAGGACUUCGGAUUGAGCUUCGGAAGCUGUAAAAGGCAUCCGAUUUUUAAAAAGUUGUUCAAACUUGGUCAUUUAGAGGAAGUAAAAGUCGUAACAAGGUUUCCGUAGGUGAAUCUGCGGAAG